CGCGUAGGUAAUCUGCCUUGGAGAUUGGGACAACCAUUCGAAAGAAUGGCUAAUACCAAAUACCUUAUAUUAAUCGCAUGAUUUUUAUAAUAAAGGGGGCUUUUAGCUCUCACUUCAAGAUGAACCUGCGUCCUAUUAGCUUGUUGGUGAGGUAGAAGCUCACCAAGGCAACGAUGGGUAGCCGGCCUGAGAGGGUGAUCGGCCACACUGGGACUGAGAUACGGCCCAG
Molecule: ribosomal RNA, 229 nt
Filed under: uncultured bacterium
Lineage: Bacteria
Description: partial 16S ribosomal RNA
Rfam family: Bacterial small subunit ribosomal RNA
Source: RNAcentral